Molecule: ribosomal RNA, 470 nt
Filed under: uncultured organism
Description: partial 16S ribosomal RNA
Rfam family: Bacterial small subunit ribosomal RNA
Source: RNAcentral
ACUCCUACGGGAGGCAGCAGUGGGGAAUUUUGGACAAUGGGCGAAAGCCUGAUCCAGCAAUGCCGCGUGAGUGAAGAAGGCCUUCGGGUUGUAAAGCUCUUUUGUCAGGGAAGAAACGGUGAAAGCUAAUAUCUUUUGCUAAUGACGGUACCUGAAGAAUAAGCACCGGCUAACUACGUGCCAGCAGCCGCGGUAAUACGUAGGGUGCAAGCGUUAAUCGGAAUUACUGGGCGUAAAGCGUGCGCAGGCGGUUUUGUAAGUCUGAUGUGAAAUCCCCGGGCUCAACCUGGGAAUUGCAUUGGAGACUGCAAGGCUAGAAUCUGGCAGAGGGGGGUAGAAUUCCACGUGGAGCAGUGAAAUGCGUAGAUAUGUGGAGGAACACCGAUGGCGAAGGCAGCCCCCUGGGUCAAGAUUGACGCUCAUGCACGAAAGCGUGGGGAGCAAACAGGAUUAGAAACCCCUGUAGUCCC